UGGGAGGGCCUGAUGCUGCCAUUUCCUAAACGUUCUUGCUCUGCACAGGACUUGUCCUUAACUGGGCUGGCACCAGCCCUGCUCUUCACCCAGGAUUACUCUGAUGUAGCAAUGCACAGUUGCUCAAAAGGCCCAGUUGAUUUCACAGCCUUUAAACUGUUAUAACCACUUGCAGGUUAUCAUUCUAUGCCUGGAAGGUGAAACUUUCAACCAGACAGAUCUCUCUGAGUGCUGUGUCCAGUUCUGUUGAUGUCAAUAGCUUAUUUUAUACAACAAACGUUUGGUGCCACAGAUCAAACGCAGACUGCCUUGGUUUGAGUCAGUGCACAAACAUCCCUCUGUAAAACUGCAGGUCCUCUUUCCACCUUGACUGUGUCUGGCUGCUCCUUAUUAUGGUUUAUUAAAGCCUUUCUCUGCCGAGGUGGAAAGACCUUUCAUGCUAUGCAGUUGCUGCUCAAGGAAAUACCUCUGCAUUGUGGCAGAUCACCUUUCAAUCUUCUUUUUGACCUGCUGAACAGGUUAAUUUUUUAAGUCUCUUCUUCCAAGGCAUUUUCUCUGCACUUAGUGAUUUUUUGCUUCCUCUCUCUGUCUUCUCCCAUUAGUUAAUAGUGAGCAUCAGCAGAACGUGCAGGGCUCCAGAGCUGCAGUCAGCAGCACCACCCGGAGAGGUUAAGUCCCCACUUCUUUGUAAACAGCCAAGGAUAAGCUUACACCGAGGUUACUGUGAGCUACUUUCCUCCUAUAAACCCUUUUCAGGAUUCCCCUGUCCACGACCAAGGACCACAAAUCAUCUUUAUGGAUGUAUGAACCAUUAUUUUCUUGCACAUCUCCAGCCUGCUGCAUGGUCUCGGGACUCAACUGGACUGCGUUGUUAUUAUCACCAGGUUCUGGCAGCAGUGUGCUUAAGGACUUCUCUUUUUAUAGCACAGUGAUAAAAACAUUUAAUGGUAGCAUUCAGCUGCUCCCUGCAGAGCCCUGCUAGAAGCAUCCUGAUUCGAUGAUUCUUUGUUAACAGAUAAUCUGAUACAGGAUAAGGAGCUGCUCUAGAUCUCCUGUAUUGAAGUUACUUAGUGUUAAUUAGCUAAAAAGCAUGUCCAGGGGCAAAAAAAAAAUGCCAGAAGACCAACUCUAUUAGAUUUACAGUUUGUCACCAAAAGGGUAAUCUCAUCAAAAGCUGGACACAGUCCAUGCAGGUAUGUGAUACCCCCAGUAAUUCAACACCCCCAAAGACUUUGCUGCAUUUGGAAGUGACUGCCUGGCCACCUGCCUCCAUUCCACCAGGACGCUGAAAUGUUAUGCUUGCAGUCCCAGAUCUUUUGAUGUGGAGCUGUGGGAUGAAAACUGCCCUUUGUUUCUUUCUUUAUACUCUUUCAUCCACGGUGUGUGAUACAAUAAAACACACCAUGUUGCUUUGCUUCCCUUGUAUGCUCCCAUGCCUUACAGUGCAGAACCUGUACCCUCGGUGGCACCGUGUGCUUGCUGGCACCUACCAAUGUUGUGGCAGGCUAACAGGUCUAUUAGAUGUCCUGCCUUGCCCCACCCUUCUGCUGAUGGGGAAAGCAAGGGCAGGAGGGAAACAAAGGCUCGGGCCAUUAUGUCCCCUCCCAAAGUGAUAAACAGGUUCCCACAGGUGUUGGUGUCUUGCCCAAAUAAGGGGCCUGGUUUCACCUAAUAUGGUCAGCCUGGCAAAUGCUAUCCUGAUUGGUGAAUCUCUGUGGCCAAAGGAGCCUUUGCACUUGGGCAAGUAAUAGAAAUGGAGCUAAGCUGCAAGCAGUCGUGCUGCCUCUGCCUUGCUGUGUGCUGCUCUGCUCUGCCUCACUGCUCUUGGCUUGGACAACGUGUUCUGCUCUGCCUCAUGCUUCACAGCAGCUUAGCCCUGAUGUUUUGAGCUUGAACUGCCUGGACAUGUUAAGUACAUCGAGUUUACCAGGAGAAGGCAGUAAGUGCCUCACAACUUGGUAAGAAGUCUUGCAAUGACAGGACAAGGAGUAAUGGGUUUAAUUUGAAGAGGGGAGAUUUAAACUAGAUGUGAGGAAGAAGUUCUUUGCCGUGAGGGUAGUGAAACACUGGGACAGGUUGCCCAAGGAGGUUAUGGACGCUCCCUCCCUGGAGGUGUUCAAGGCCAGGCUGGAUGAGGCCUUAAGCAACCUGUUCUAGUGGGAGGUCUCCUUGCCUACGGUGGGGGGUUGGAACUGGAUGAUCCUUGAGGACCCUUCCAACCUAAACCAUUCUAUGAUUCUAAGUGCCACUGCCAUAGUGCUCUCUACACACCUGCAAGAGAUCCUGCCUGAAACUCUGCAAACCUCUGUGCCAAGAGGAACCAGGAUUGAGUCAGAGAUCUCCUGUCUCUUCCCCAGCACCCUGCUAGAGCCUGGAAAGAUUUAGAAGCCGUUCAAAGGUUACCAAGAAGCUGAGCAGUUCCAACACUGCACAAAGGAGCCAGAGACUACCUCUGAGUUUGUACUCCACUGCUGCCUUGGGAGCUGCUCAGUGAAGCCUAUGAGAUGAAGAUGCCUACAUCCCGCAGAGCUGCCACAAGGACAGGACAGCCACUUCUACAGUUUGCACAGGCAAGUCCACCAUGGGGGUUGGUUUUUUUCACUUGAUAUUAGGUUCUUUUACACUUGAAAGGUAGUGCUGCAGUUCAAAAGUCACAGAUAUUGUUCUCUGUAGCAAUAAGCACAGCAAUCUGAGUGAGCACACUUGUCUUGGAUGUUAGCUAUCUACAGCUCUGGAGGGCAGACAGACUGGCAAACAGCAGCAUGUCCUCCUUGCCCCACACCACUCAGGUGUGACGACCCCAGCACAAACACACUCUUCAGCUUAAUGCAGGCACAGUAAUGAUGGGCCUUCAGGAAUGAAAGGUUUGAGACUGACUGACCCAAAAGUGGAGCGCUGUGCAAUGUGCCUGUCAGCAUAAGGCAACUGGUAAAUAUACUUAACCCAGCAUUCAAGUAGCUGUAUGUGGACCAUCUUAACUGACACCUGUCCAAAGGCAAUGUAACAGCCUGCCAAACAGGAUGGCAAAGCAUUUGUCCUUUGCAUUGCUUUGAAGGUCUUGCAAAGCACUGGGUGGAGAACUAGGUGCACAGACUGACCUAAGUAUCCUUUUGAGACGUUGCUAAGUCACUUGUGGCAGAUGUGCUUCACUGAAAGAUUGGUGCAGAGCAAACAUUUCUGGCUGAGGUUAGUUCAGAUCAUCAGGAACGUGUUUAGUAGAUUUGAUACAGUGUGGUACUCAACUUGCAUUAGCUGCAGCCUACAGGCAAGACUGAACUGAAGACCUGGAAACUUAAAGAUGUAAGAUGUUUAAAAAAUGAAGUGGCUUUCAUUAGGAGCAAAAGGACCACCAGGUAAGUGUGCUAGCUCCUUCUACAUUUAAGGAUAGGGCAGUUGGUUCAGAGAGCUGGAAAGGAGCACCUGUGAUGUUCCCCAGGCAGGUACCGUGAGGGUGUGUGCAAACUGUGGCUGCCACUGCUCUUGGUUAUGCUUUCCCUGGACUCUCAGCUCUACCAAGGGAAGGUUUCUUAAUUCAUUUGCCAGUGUGUGGAGGUUAAGCCUUCCAACGUUUAACUAGGGGGCCGCAGGUGUUUUGCCUCUUGGGCAGGGCCCUGAAGCUCAAUGCAGUUACCCUUCAGAACCCUUAUGUGUUUCAACUUCCCUAGUGGAAUGGGAAUCAGAAUGUCCUUGCUGAAACUCUAAAAAGCAGGUCAAACCAGUGAUUUGACAGAAAAGCAGUGCAGCUAAGAGCAUGAGCCAGGCUGGCCACGAGAACAAUCUGCUCCCGGCUUUCUACCAAGAAGGUUCCUGCUAGCCACUCCGCAGGGCAGAGGUAAAGAAAAGCUGAUGCACCUUCCCAUCAAAGCAAAAUUUGGAGCAGGAGCACCCAUCUUACAAGAGAAACCUUAUUAAUGACUCAGGGCAAGUCCUUCUCUGAACUGAAUUGAUCCUUCUGAGUCUCCUCAAACUUCUCAGGCAGAGAGAUGGUGCAGCUCAGGACAGGGAGCUCAGGGUUUGUUUCACCCUGUGUGUUUCCCUUCACGGUUGUUUUUGUUCUCAUCUCCUUCUUUAUGUUGCAUUUUUUGUUCAUAAUGAUAAACUGGUAAGCUCUCUGAAAGUUAAUCCCCUGUUAGCUUUGCAGCUUCUAUGCUAAUCUCUUGUUGGCUUUGCUGCUUGUAUCUCUGGAGCUGAUUUGCAUUCCCUAAUCCCGAGCUGAAUCUCUUUGCUCUCAGUGCUUAUGUUUGCAUGGAUACCUAUUUUUGAAAUAAUUAGCUGAAGGACUCUCCCCACAGAACGUAACACAGAUUGAAGAGAUUUUACACAAGCUGAUGCUUAAAUGGCUUUCAAGACAGCUAAGAUUUUUUCCUGGCUUGUCUUUCCAUUUGGGAACAGGCAAGCCAUAUGUUUACAGUUGUUAACACAAGCCCUCGGCUCCAGCUCCAGCACACCAUCUCUGAGAAGCUUGCUUCGGCACUUCUGAAGGCUUCCAGCACAAGGACCGACCCUCCCUCAUCUGACUUGUGCAGUUCUAGACACACAACUGCAAGGUAAGCAGGGCUGCACUUGUGAGAAUCUAAGAAAUCCGAGGGCAGCGACAGCCCAGCCAAACCGUGGCAAGGAGAGGUGUCACCGAGGGCAGCGACAGCCCAGCCAAGCCGUGGCAAGGAGAGGUGGCACCGAGGGCAGCGACAGCCCAGCCAAGCCGUGGCAAGGAGAGGUGUCACCGAGGGCAGCGACAGCUCAGUCAUCAGUCCAGCUGCAAAGUGAAGUGUGGUUGGUGCCCUCUGUAUGGUACUGCAGCCCAGCUCUGUCAGGCUGGAGGAAUUCCCUUGGAGUUAGUGUGGCAUCAGAGCUUGCUAACUGAGGAGAGGAAAGCAGAAACCAGAGCUCUGAUGCAGUGACUGCAGGUGGAGGCAGACCCAAAUGUCUUUUCAAAGUCUCCUGACAUGACAGACUGCUGUGAUGGCUUCUCCAGGACAGCGCUAUCCUGAGACCCUGCGGCACACACAGCUCCAGCUGUAAAGCUGGAUCAGCUCAGCUGUCUUCACACCACUUGUGCCACUGUGCUGAGAUCCAAUGCACACAGAAGUGGAUGUUUCACACUUGCUGCAUGGAGAAGUACUUGUGAGUGGUUUUCUCAAAGAAGAACUGAUCAAAAAGGCCGACAAAUCCAAAUGCACCUCACAACAGUGCUGGCAAUGACACUGCACAGAGAGCAGAUCAGCUUAGUGGGCAGCUAUAAAUUGCACUUUUUAUGUUUCCAUGUGUACCAGAAAAUACUUUGUGGUGAUUAGAUUAAUUAGAGUGCUGGGAUCUGUUUUUCAAGAGGUUCUAUCCUUUUCAUGCUUAUCUAACAAACAGUGGUGACUCAGCCAACACGUUAACACAGGACAGUUCACAUGGUUUUAAUUCCCCCCCAACUGGCAGAGAUGAUUCAAUCUACAAUUUCCAUUUAAGUGCUUAGUAAAGAUUGCUAAUUUUUUUCUCUCAUUUGCCAUGAUACCACAAACAUACCAUGCCUGAAGUUCAGUCAAAACAUGAACAGGUACUUGUUUGUUUAAAAAUGAAGUCCAAGUCCUUGCUUGUUACAUCUUUCAAAUGCAAGAGAAUCCAGAAAGGAGCUUCAAAAGGACAAAGACUUCCUCCCAUGUUGUGAAGCCAAUUCUCCUAGUGGCAGCAGCUGGAACAAAGGUCACAAAGCUGAGAACCUAUCAAAUAGCACGUCCAUCAGGCUUUGCUUAAUCACACGAGCAGUGAAGUCUGCUUUGGCAAUGGUCUUCGCCUAACUGCAUCGGGUGUUGGGCCACAGCACUGCAGAUAAGAGCUGAUGAUAUAAAUGGGAGUCAUUCAGAGCCUGCAGACUGAGCUACCAGCCAAACAGCAUCCUCCACUGCUCUUCCUAUUGACUUCACCAUGCUCAGUCUCUCCUGAAGACUGGUGACUGACCCCAGUGGAAUCUAGGACUGUUUUAGGGCAUAAAACAGGUAUCAGCAAUAGUCUCUCCCAUGUUAAACACCAAGACGAAGGUGCCAGCAGUUUGAAGGAUAUGAUCUUUCAGGAACAUUAACGUUAAAGGUAAUAAUAGUUAGAAGCCUAAGAAAUUCAGUCUCAUUUUCUAUCAGCACUGCUUUCUGUGAGGAAUAGGUAUCCACAGGGAUGCAGAAGAAGUCACUAAGAAAAUGACAAUAUUUCACUUUGAUUAUUGCAGGGCAUUAAAAUGUUUCCAUUACCUUAACAUAGGUUUAUAAUUAGCCUCAUAAUAUGCUAUGACUAUUGUAAUUGACAUAUUUAUGUUGUUGCUUAUAAUUGCUACGUAAAAUAUUUAAGAUCAGCUUUAAAAAUCCUUUUCUUCUGAAAAUGUCACAUGCAAAAAGCUUCAGCAGGCACGUCUGGUUUUGCUCUGCUGCAGAGAUACACUUUAGGUUGCCAUGGUUUGGUUUUGCCUUGCUACAACCAUUUCAUUUUCUAGAACCUGGGGAGCGCCACUGAAAGAUGGAACUUGCUGCCUUAAGUGUGGGUUUGGUUAAAGCAACAGACAGCACAGAGGAGUUUUUCACAAUCCAACACUGUUGAUGUGUGUUUGCAGCCUUUCUUCAAGGCUAAAAACGUUUCUGUGAUAGGACAGCUGGCAUGCCACUGCAUCUAGAGAGAGCAACUUGUGCAGUAAGCUUGGCCCAAAGCUACGUCAAACAGCCAAGCCAAAGCAAGGUUUGCGGCAGGGCUGGCAAACCAGGCUCCUCAAACCAUGACUCUGAAGACAGAGAUCUGAUGAGACUUUUACCCAUACUACUAAAUGCUGUGCCUAAUGUAGCCCUUAAGCAUGAAGGUGCGCACAGAGAAAGGGAGGCAGGCUGCACUGAGGCAAGAGCUCUUUGCUUGCAUGCACUAACUUUACUGCCACUGUCUGUUUGUUACACACCUGCCUGUCAGAUUUCUUUCCAGCCUUCUCCUUUUC
Molecule: long non-coding RNA, 6955 nt
Organism: Pogoniulus pusillus (Red-fronted tinkerbird)
Lineage: Eukaryota; Metazoa; Chordata; Aves; Piciformes; Lybiidae
Exons: 2
Source: RefSeq, a predicted model, not a curated record